Molecule: long non-coding RNA, 506 nt
Organism: Pseudophryne corroboree (corroboree frog)
Lineage: Eukaryota; Metazoa; Chordata; Amphibia; Anura; Myobatrachidae
Exons: 2
Source: RefSeq, a predicted model, not a curated record
CUCUUACCAAAACCCCCUCUCCGGCCCAAUACCCAUCCUUUUCCCAAUUCCCCCUCUCUGCCCCCCUCCCGCUCUGUGUCCCAAACCAUCUCUCCACCACCCUCACCCUAUCUUUCACAAACACCCUCUGUAACCUACUCCACCUUCCAUCCUCUUUCCCAAAUGGACACUCCUUCCCCCAUCCAGCCACCAUCCCCCAUGCAGCCAACCACCCCCAUCCAGUCGCCAUCCCCCAGCCAAACCCCUUCGCCCCCAUCUGAAUGGGCAACAGAGGCCCCGGACCAACUUCAGGGAGGUGGUGAAGUGGCAGAGGAAAAUGCUGCCGUUGGAGAUCCCAUCACUAUGGCUCACAUUCUGGCAAACAUGCGGCAGCAAAUUGUUAUGUUACUAGAAAAUGUGGAUUUAUUACAAAAAUUACUUUUAUAACAAAAAAACAAACAAAAAACAAACACAAAAAAAAAACGCCGUUUAAAAAAUUAAUAAAAAACAAUUAUUAUUCCAGUUAA